CUCUAUGACGGGUAUCCGGCCUGAGAGGGUGAUCGGACACACUGGAACUGAGACACGGUCCAGACUCCUACGGGAGGCAGCAGUAGGGAAUAUUGCUCAAUGGGGGAAACCCUGAAGCAGCAACGCCGCGUGGAGGAUGAAGGUUUUAGGAUUGUAAACUCCUUUUGUAAGAGAAGAUUAUGACGGUAUCUUACGAAUAAGCACCGGCUAACUCCGUGCCAGCAGCCGCGGUAAUACGGAGGGUGCAAGCGUUACUCGGAAUCACUGGGCGUAAAGAGCGCGUAGGCGGGAUAGUAAGUCAGAUGUGAAAUCCUGUGGCUUAACUACAGAACUGCAUUUGAAACUACUAUUCUAGAGUGUGGGAGAGGUAGGUGGAAU
Molecule: ribosomal RNA, 378 nt
Filed under: Helicobacter sp. H005
Lineage: Bacteria; Pseudomonadati; Campylobacterota; Epsilonproteobacteria; Campylobacterales; Helicobacteraceae
Description: bacterial SSU rRNA
Rfam family: Bacterial small subunit ribosomal RNA
Source: RNAcentral